RNAcentral lists this ribosomal RNA (2927 nucleotides) under Escherichia coli. RNAcentral describes it as "partial 23S ribosomal RNA". It matches the Rfam family "Bacterial large subunit ribosomal RNA". Lineage: Bacteria; Pseudomonadati; Pseudomonadota; Gammaproteobacteria; Enterobacterales; Enterobacteriaceae. The record is from RNAcentral.
GGGUUGUGAGGUUAAGCGACUAAGCGUACACGGUGGAUGCCCUGGCAGUCAGAGGCGAUGAAGGACGUGCUAAUCUGCGAUAAGCGUCGGUAAGGUGAUAUGAACCGUUAUAACCGGCGAUUUCCGAAUGGGGAAACCCAGUGUGAUUCGUCACACUAUCAUUAACUGAAUCCAUAGGUUAAUGAGGCGAACCGGGGGAACUGAAACAUCUAAGUACCCCGAGGAAAAGAAAUCAACCGAGAUUCCCCCAGUAGCGGCGAGCGAACGGGGAGCAGCCCAGAGCCUGAAUCAGUGUGUGUGUUAGUGGAAGCGUCUGGAAAGGCGCGCGAUACAGGGUGACAGCCCCGUACACAAAAAUGCACAUGCUGUGAGCUCGAUGAGUAGGGCGGGACACGUGGUAUCCUGUCUGAAUAUGGGGGGACCAUCCUCCAAGGCUAAAUACUCCUGACUGACCGAUAGUGAACCAGUACCGUGAGGGAAAGGCGAAAAGAACCCCGGCGAGGGGAGUGAAAAAGAACCUGAAACCGUGUACGUACAAGCAGUGGGAGCACAGAGCAAUCUGUGUGACUGCGUACCUUUUGUAUAAUGGGUCAGCGACUUAUAUUCUGUAGCAAGGUUAACCGAAUAGGGGAGCCGAAGGGAAACCGAGUCUUAACUGGGCGUUAAGUUGCAGGGUAUAGACCCGAAACCCGGUGAUCUAGCCAUGGGCAGGUUGAAGGUUGGGUAACACUAACUGGAGGACCGAACCGACUAAUGUUGAAAAAUUAGCGGAUGACUUGUGGCUGGGGGUGAAAGGCCAAUCAAACCGGGAGAUAGCUGGUUCUCCCCGAAAGCUAUUUAGGUAGCGCCUCGUGAAUUCAUCUCCGGGGGUAGAGCACUGUUUCGGCAAGGGGGUCAUCCCGACUUACCAACCCGAUGCAAACUGCGAAUACCGGAGAAUGUUAUCACGGGAGACACACGGCGGGUGCUAACGUCCGUCGUGAAGAGGGAAACAACCCAGACCGCCAGCUAAGGUCCCAAAGUCAUGGUUAAGUGGGAAACGAUGUGGGAAGGCCCAGACAGCCAGGAUGUUGGCUUAGAAGCAGCCAUCAUUUAAAGAAAGCGUAAUAGCUCACUGGUCGAGUCGGCCUGCGCGGAAGAUGUAACGGGGCUAAACCAUGCACCGAAGCUGCGGCAGCGACGCUUAUGCGUUGUUGGGUAGGGGAGCGUUCUGUAAGCCUGUGAAGGUGUACUGUGAGGUAUGCUGGAGGUAUCAGAAGUGCGAAUGCUGACAUAAGUAACGAUAAAGCGGGUGAAAAGCCCGCUCGCCGGAAGACCAAGGGUUCCUGUCCAACGUUAAUCGGGGCAGGGUGAGUCGACCCCUAAGGCGAGGCCGAAAGGCGUAGUCGAUGGGAAACAGGUUAAUAUUCCUGUACUUGGUGUUACUGCGAAGGGGGGACGGAGAAGGCUAUGUUGGCCGGGCGACGGUUGUCCCGGUUUAAGCGUGUAGGCUGGUUUUCCAGGCAAAUCCGGAAAAUCAAGGCUGAGGCGUGAUGACGAGGCACUACGGUGCUGAAGCAACAAAUGCCCUGCUUCCAGGAAAAGCCUCUAAGCAUCAGGUAACAUCAAAUCGUACCCCAAACCGACACAGGUGGUCAGGUAGAGAAUACCAAGGCGCUUGAGAGAACUCGGGUGAAGGAACUAGGCAAAAUGGUGCCGUAACUUCGGGAGAAGGCACGCUGAUAUGUAGGUGAAGUCCCUCGCGGAUGGAGCUGAAAUCAGUCGAAGAUACCAGCUGGCUGCAACUGUUUAUUAAAAACACAGCACUGUGCAAACACGAAAGUGGACGUAUACGGUGUGACGCCUGCCCGGUGCCGGAAGGUUAAUUGAUGGGGUCAGCGCAAGCGAAGCUCUUGAUCGAAGCCCCGGUAAACGGCGGCCGUAACUAUAACGGUCCUAAGGUAGCGAAAUUCCUUGUCGGGUAAGUUCCGACCUGCACGAAUGGCGUAAUGAUGGCCAGGCUGUCUCCACCCGAGACUCAGUGAAAUUGAACUCGCUGUGAAGAUGCAGUGUACCCGCGGCAAGACGGAAAGACCCCGUGAACCUUUACUAUAGCUUGACACUGAACAUUGAGCCUUGAUGUGUAGGAUAGGUGGGAGGCUUUGAAGUGUGGACGCCAGUCUGCAUGGAGCCGACCUUGAAAUACCACCCUUUAAUGUUUGAUGUUCUAACGUUGACCCGUGAUCCGGGUUGCGGACAGUGUCUGGUGGGUAGUUUGACUGGGGCGGUCUCCUCCUAAAGAGUAACGGAGGAGCACGAAGGUUGGCUAAUCCUGGUCGGACAUCAGGAGGUUAGUGCAAUGGCAUAAGCCAGCUUGACUGCGAGCGUGACGGCGCGAGCAGGUGCGAAAGCAGGUCAUAGUGAUCCGGUGGUUCUGAAUGGAAGGGCCAUCGCUCAACGGAUAAAAGGUACUCCGGGGAUAACAGGCUGAUACCGCCCAAGAGUUCAUAUCGACGGCGGUGUUUGGCACCUCGAUGUCGGCUCAUCACAUCCUGGGGCUGAAGUAGGUCCCAAGGGUAUGGCUGUUCGCCAUUUAAAGUGGUACGCGAGCUGGGUUUAGAACGUCGUGAGACAGUUCGGUCCCUAUCUGCCGUGGGCGCUGGAGAACUGAGGGGGGCUGCUCCUAGUACGAGAGGACCGGAGUGGACGCAUCACUGGUGUUCGGGUUGUCAUGCCAAUGGCACUGCCCGGUAGCUAAAUGCGGAAGAGAUAAGUGCUGAAAGCAUCUAAGCACGAAACUUGCCCCGAGAUGAGUUCUCCCUGACUCCUUGAGAGUCCUGAAGGAACGUUGAAGACGACGACGUUGAUAGGCCGGGUGUGUAAGCGCAGCGAUGCGUUGAGCUAACCGGUACUAAUGAACCGUGAGGCUUAACCUUACAACGCCGAAG